This 27-nucleotide non-coding RNA is filed under the name Rattus norvegicus (Norway rat). The record is from RNAcentral. Lineage: Eukaryota; Metazoa; Chordata; Mammalia; Rodentia; Muridae.
UAGUCUGAGGUGGGAUGCUGAGGGCUA